UGGGGAAUAUUGGACAAUGGGCGCAAGCCUGAUCCAGCCAUGCCGCGUGAGUGAUGAAGGCCCUAGGGUUGUAAAGCUCUUUCACCGGUGAAGAUAAUGACGGUAACCGGAGAAGAAGCCCCGGCUAACUUCGUGCCAGCAGCCGCGGUAAUACGAAGGGGGCUAGCGUUGUUCGGAUUUACUGGGCGUAAAGCGCACGUAGGCGGACUUUUAAGUCAGGGGUGAAAUCCCGGGGCUCAACCCCGGAACUGCCUUUGAUACUGGAAGUCUUGAGUAUGGUAGAGGUGAGUGGAAUUCCGAGUGUAGAGGUGAAAUUCGUAGAUAUUCGGAGGAACACCAGUGGCGAAGGCGGCUCACUGGACCAUUACUGACGCUGAGAUGCGAAAGCGUGGGGAGCAAACAGG
Molecule: ribosomal RNA, 404 nt
Filed under: Brucella melitensis
Lineage: Bacteria; Pseudomonadati; Pseudomonadota; Alphaproteobacteria; Hyphomicrobiales; Brucellaceae
Also listed under: 1 other name
Description: partial 16S ribosomal RNA
Rfam family: Bacterial small subunit ribosomal RNA
Source: RNAcentral